CCUACGGGAGGCAGCAGUGGGGAAUUUUGGACAAUGGGCGCAAGCCUGAUCCAGCAAUGCCGCGUGCAGGAUGAAGGCCUUCGGGUUGUAAACUGCUUUUGUACGGAACGAAACGGCGAGCUCUAAUAAAGUUCGCUAAUGACGGUACCGUAAGAAUAAGCACCGGCUAACUACGUGCCAGCAGCCGCGGUAAUACGUAGGGUGCAAGCGUUAAUCGGAAUUACUGGGCGUAAAGCGUGCGCAGGCGGUGAUGUAAGACAGAUGUGAAAUCCCCGGGCUCAACCUGGGACCUGCAUUUGUGACUGCAUCGCUAGAGUACGGUAGAGGGGGGAUGGAAUUCCGCGUGUAGCAGUGAAAUGCGUAGAUAUGCGGAGGAACACCGAUGGCGAAGGCAAUCCCCUGGACCUGUACUGACGCUCAUGCACGAAAGCGUGGGGAGCAAACAGGAUUAGAUACCCUGGUAGUCCACGCCCUAAACGAUGUCAACUGGUUGUUGGGUCUUCACUGACUCAGUAACGAAGACACGCGUGAGUAGCCGCCGNGGGAGGUACGGCCGGCGAGGUUAGUAACGUACGAAAGAAAGUUAGACGGACGUGAGACGUACGACCGACGGACGACCGACGACGGGGAGGGUUAGGGAG
Molecule: ribosomal RNA, 641 nt
Filed under: uncultured bacterium
Lineage: Bacteria
Description: bacterial SSU rRNA
Rfam family: Bacterial small subunit ribosomal RNA (bases 1-540)
Source: RNAcentral